Molecule: ribosomal RNA, 253 nt
Filed under: uncultured bacterium
Lineage: Bacteria
Description: partial 16S ribosomal RNA
Rfam family: Bacterial small subunit ribosomal RNA
Source: RNAcentral
UACGUAGGGACCGAGCGUUGUCCGGAAUCAUUGGGCGUAAAGAGCGUGUAGGCGGCCAACUAAGUCCUGCGUGAAAUCUCGGGGCUCAACCCCGAGCGGUCGUGGGAAACUGGUUGGCUAGAGUGCGGGAGAGGAGAGUGGAAUUCCUGGUGUAGCGGUGAAAUGCGCAGAUAUCAGGAGGAACACCCGUGGCGAAGGCGGCUCUCUGGAACGCAACUGACGCUGAGACGCGAAAGCGUGGGGAGCAAACAGG